GCCGAGCUCAGUAACGUGGGCUUGUAACUCAAGUGAGGGCAUUAAUGUGGUGGAAUAUUGGGCCUGUUCAGAUGGCAGGGUUUGGGUGGCUAAUUUCUGGCCUGCCCUAUCCAAGCUCAGAGUUUGGUCACGUGGCCCGAACGAACGUAUGGGCUGCUUGGCUCCUAAAGCGGGGUGGACCGCGUGAGGCUGGUUUCACAGAGCAACGAAUAGCUCCCGCUCUGUGCAGUGGAAGGAUAACUGGCCGGUGUCAUCUAAGCCCAAUAAAUGCCUGAUGGGCUGCUCUAAUUAAACUACCACUUUU
This is a non-coding RNA of Nicotiana sylvestris (wood tobacco), 304 nucleotides long. The record is from Rfam. Lineage: Eukaryota; Viridiplantae; Streptophyta; Magnoliopsida; Solanales; Solanaceae.